UACGUAGGUGGCAAGCGUUGUCCGGAAUUAUUGGGCGUAAAGCGCGCGCAGGCGGCUUCUUAAGUCUGAUGUGAAAUCUCGGGGCUCAACCCCGAGCGGCCAUUGGAAACUGGGAAGCUUGAGUACAGAAGAGGAGAGUGGAAUUCCACGUGUAGCGGUGAAAUGCGUAGAGUAAUGUGGAGGAACACCAGUGGCGAAGGCGACUCUCUGGUCUGUAACUGACGCUGAGGCGCGAAAGCGUGGGGAGCAAACAGG
This 255-nucleotide ribosomal RNA is filed under the name uncultured bacterium. Its description in RNAcentral is "partial 16S ribosomal RNA". It matches the Rfam family "Bacterial small subunit ribosomal RNA", at positions 524 to 776 of the family's 1533-position model. The record is from RNAcentral.